Molecule: long non-coding RNA, 282 nt
Organism: Dipodomys ordii (Ord's kangaroo rat)
Lineage: Eukaryota; Metazoa; Chordata; Mammalia; Rodentia; Heteromyidae
Exons: 3
Source: RefSeq, a predicted model, not a curated record
GCCUGACUGACAUGAAGCACCAACACUAGCUGUUUCAUAAAUAUUUACUGUUGAUGAUGGCAAUGACCUUGAUGCUGAUGAGCAGCCUGGCCAGGAGGAUGCUUCAUGUGGAGGAAAGAAGUGCUGGAGACAGGCUGAUUCUAGUGCCAGAAGAGGAAUUCACUUGACUGCCAUAAAGACCAGAUUGCAGUUGAGCAUAGUGGAGCAUGCCUGUAAUCCCACCACUCAAGGAGGCUAAGGACCAUAACAGGACUUGAACUCAGAGCCUGGGUGCUAUCUCUC